RNAcentral lists this ribosomal RNA (1026 nucleotides) under uncultured Desulfurococcales archaeon. RNAcentral's name for it is "bacterial SSU rRNA". It matches the Rfam family "Archaeal small subunit ribosomal RNA". The record is from RNAcentral. Lineage: Archaea; Thermoproteati; Thermoproteota; Thermoprotei; Desulfurococcales.
GCCCUUUUUCCGGUUGUACCUGCCGGACCCGACUGCUAUCGGGGUAGGGCUAAGCCAUGGAAGUCGAACGCCCCGCCGCUGCGGGGCGUGGCGCACGGCUGAGUAACACGUGGCUAACCUACCCUCGGGAGGGGGAUAACCUCUCGGGAAACUGGGGCUAAUCCCCCAUAGGCGGGGAGGCCUGGAAAGGUUCCCCGCCAAAAGGGGGCGCAGGGGGCCAUCGCCUGCGCUCCGCCCGAGGAUGGGGCUGCGGCCUAUCAGGUAGUUGGCGGGGUAACGGCCCGCCAAGCCGAAGACGGGUAGGGGCCGUGAGAGCGGGAGCCCCCAGAUGGGCACUGAGACAAGGGCCCAGGCCCUACGGGGCGCACCAGGCGCGAAAACUCCGCAAUGCGGGAAACCGUGACGGGGCUACCCCGAGUGCCCCCCUUGUGGGGGCUUUUCCCCGCUGUAAGAAGGCGGGGGAAUAAGCGGGGGGCAAGUCUGGUGUCAGCCGCCGCGGUAAUACCAGCCCCGCGAGACCGGGGCCCUAAACAAGCCCCGGCGCGACUGGUCGGGGUGAUUAUUGGGCCUAAAGCGGCCGUAGCCGGCCCGGUAAGUCCCCCCUGAAAGUCUCGGGCUCAACCCGAGAAGCGGGGGGAUACUGCCGGGCUAGGGGGCGGGAGAGGCCGAGGGUACUCCCGGGGUAGGGGCGAAAUCCUAUAAUCCCGGGAGGACCACCAGUGGCGAAGGCGCUCGGCUGGAACGCGCCCGACGGUGAGGGCCGAAAGCCGGGGGAGCGAACCGGAUUAGAUACCCGGGUAGUCCCGGCUGUAAACGAUGCGGGCUAGGUGUUGGGCGGGCGAGAGAGCCCGCCCAGUGCCGCAGGGAAGCCGUUAAGCCCGCCGCCUGGGGAGUACGGCCGCAAACCUGGUUAGGGCUUAGAGCCCUACCGGGGCGGAAGGCUGAAACUUAAAGGAAAGGGAGGCUGGAAGCUGGGUGCAAAGGCUUAAAUAGCUCUUUUAGGCUUCUAAGUUCCAUCUUUCUCUC